This 432-nucleotide ribosomal RNA is filed under the name uncultured bacterium. RNAcentral's name for it is "partial 16S ribosomal RNA". It matches the Rfam family "Bacterial small subunit ribosomal RNA", at positions 29 to 507 of the family's 1533-position model. The record is from RNAcentral.
AACGAACGCUGGCGGCAUGCCUAACACAUGCAAGUCGAACGAGACCUUCGGGUCUAGUGGCGCACGUGUGCGUAACGCGUGGGAACCUGCCCUUAGGUUCGGAAUACCUCCCCGAAGGGGGUGCUAAUACCGGUUAAUGUCUUCCGACCAAGAUUUAUCGCCUUUGAAUGGGCCCGCGUUGGAUUAGCUCGUUGGUAGGGUAAAAGCCUACCAAGGCGACGAUCCAUAGCUGGUCGGAGAGGAUGAGCAGCCACACUGGGACUGAGACACGGCCCAGACUCGUACGGGAGGGAGCAGUGGGGAAUAUUGGAGGAGGGGCGAAAGCCUGACCAAGCAGUGCCGCGUGAGUGAGGAAGGCGUUAGGGUUGUAAUGCUCUUUGAGCCGGGAUGAUAAUGACAGUACCGGGAGAAUAAGCACCGGCUAACUACGUG